Molecule: ribosomal RNA, 253 nt
Filed under: uncultured bacterium
Lineage: Bacteria
Description: partial 16S ribosomal RNA
Rfam family: Bacterial small subunit ribosomal RNA
Source: RNAcentral
UACAGAGGUCUCAAGCGUUGUUCGGAUUCAUUGGGCGUAAAGGGUGCGUAGGCGGCGCGGUAAGUCGGGUGUGAAAUCUCGGGGCUUAACUCCGAAACUGCAUUCGAUACUACCGUGCUUGAGGACUGGAGAGGAGACUGGAAUUUACGGUGUAGCGGUGAAAUGCGUAGAUAUCGUAAGGAAGACCAGUGGCGAAGGCGGGUCUCUGGACAGUACCUGACGCUGAGGCACGAAGGCCAGGGGAGCAAACGGG